Molecule: long non-coding RNA, 1208 nt
Filed under: Equus caballus (horse)
Lineage: Eukaryota; Metazoa; Chordata; Mammalia; Perissodactyla; Equidae
Description: lncRNA (ENSECAG00000057081.1)
Source: RNAcentral
UUCCAAAUCAAUGGUAUCAGAGAUGUUUCUUCUUUAAUGUUCUGAAACAAAAUGACAUGACAAUCUCUUGUCUAGUGCCCACAGCUAAUUUUAAAAGGAAUAUAGGGGCCAACGCUGUGGCUGAGUGAUUAAGUUCCCACGCUCCACUUCAGCGGCCCAGGGUUUCACCAGUUUGGAUCCUGGGUGCGGACUGGUGACUGAUAGCACUGCUCAUCAGGCCAUGCUGAGGCAGCCUCCCACAUAGCACAACUAGAAGAACCUACAACUAGAAUUUGCAGCUAGAGCUGGUUGUGCUGAGAGAGGAACGGUCUCGAAGUAAUCAAAAUGGAAGACUCUGAGGGAAUCAAGGCAACAGUUUAUAUUGCAACAAUUUGGAAGAUGUAAGAGGAAGAUCAGAUUAUCCAACUCUCUGGGGACUCACCUGGGCUGAAAUGUGGAAAAGAGAGAGAGGUGAAUUUGGAGCAGAUCUGAGAAGACUGAGACAAGGGGGUCACGCGUGCUGAUGGAUGAAGAGAAUCAGCGCCUGAAAACUGCCCACAACCUGCCUGACUAAUACUAAGGACACCUGUGGAAGUUGAGGCAAAGCCUGCAAAACAGUUGUAACUGUUUAAGUGCUCACCCUCUUGGCUGAGCUCCACUUCUGGUUGGUCUUCGCUGAGGGUCUUCCAUCUACAGCUACCUGCUUAAAGCAGUGAUGUCGUUUCGUGCGAUAAGACUUUGCUAUGAUCUAUUUGUAGUAUCCCAAGUUGAAAUGCUGCUUUCCGUGCUUCAGGACAUGCAUAAUAGCCCCAAACAGAAAAUGGCGUCCUUCAUACUAGAGAGUUGUUGCUCAUUAGGAAGGGAACAUGCAAAGCACCUGCACCUGGGUGGUACACAGAAGCGGCAAAUCUCUCCCUGUUACAUACCAUUCAUGAGUUGGUCCCAUUUUACUAAUCAUAUGAUUCCAUACUACCUUAUAUAACACAGCCCUUAAUAUGGCAAGAUUCCAUCUAUCUUUGAAAGGUUUAAAGAAUAAGAAAAAAUAUUAGGAAAGUGUGUUUGACAUAGACAAUAUUUAAAUCAGUUGAUCCUUUAAGUUUUAGGGUGGGAGAAAUAGGAACAGAAAAUUAUCCUCCUUUCCUCCCUCCCUCCCUUCUUCCUUCUUCUUCUUUCCUUCCUUCCUUCCCUUUUUUCCUACCUUCCUAUUUUCUUUAAUGAUUUUAUGUUAA